RNAcentral lists this non-coding RNA (22 nucleotides) under Arabidopsis thaliana (thale cress). Lineage: Eukaryota; Viridiplantae; Streptophyta; Magnoliopsida; Brassicales; Brassicaceae. The record is from RNAcentral.
AUGUUGAAUGUCGUUUUUGGCG